AUGCAGGUGGAUGAUGUAAGUUGUUAUCAUACGGACAUAUGGUGGUUAUCCCGGGGAAAGUUGUUUGUUUUGGUGGAAGAACUAAGGGAAAAUGAUCCAUUUGUGGAAAAACAAAACCAUUGGUUCGCAAUACUGGGGUUAUAUCCAAGAUUCAGCAGGAAAAUAAGGUUAACUUGUAAUCUACCUACUGUCUAUCUAUUCAUGUUGGAUGUUGACUUCUCAUUCGCCAUCCUAGCGGCAGUUUCAUUGUUUCUUAAUAUAGGCCUCCGACGUGGAUAUAUUGGUAAUCACUUGUUACGACUGAAGUUUGAAUUCCACAUUGUAUUGCCUUGA
Molecule: ribosomal RNA, 333 nt
Filed under: Triticum aestivum (bread wheat)
Lineage: Eukaryota; Viridiplantae; Streptophyta; Magnoliopsida; Poales; Poaceae
Description: partial small subunit ribosomal RNA
Source: RNAcentral